CCACGGGGGGCAGCAGUGGGGAAUAUUGGACAAUGGGCGAAAGCCUGAUCCAGCCAUGCCGCGUGUGUGAAGAAGGCCUUCGGGUUGUAAAGCACUUUCAGUGGGGAAGAAAGCCUUGGGGCUAAUACCCUCGAGGAAGGACAUCACCCACAGAAGAAGCACCGGCUAACUCCGUGCCAGCAGCCGCGGUAAUACGGAGGGUGCGAGCGUUAAUCGGAAUUACUGGGCGUAAAGCGCGCGUAGGCGGUCUGAUAAGCCGGUUGUGAAAGCCCCGGGCUCAACCUGGGAACGGCAUCCGGAACUGUCAGGCUAGAGUGCAGGAGAGGAAGGUAGAAUUCCCGGUGUAGCGGUGAAAUGCGUAGAGAUCGGGAGGAAUACCAGUGGCGAAGGCGGCCUUCUGGACUGACACUGACGCUGAGGUGCGAAAGCGUGGGUAGCAAACAGGAUUAGAUACCCGAGUAGUC
RNAcentral lists this ribosomal RNA (464 nucleotides) under Vreelandella stevensii. RNAcentral describes it as "partial 16S ribosomal RNA". It matches the Rfam family "Bacterial small subunit ribosomal RNA", at positions 339 to 795 of the family's 1533-position model. Lineage: Bacteria; Pseudomonadati; Pseudomonadota; Gammaproteobacteria; Oceanospirillales; Halomonadaceae. The record is from RNAcentral.